AUCGAACGCUGGCGGCAUGCCUUACACAUGCAAGUCGAACGGUAACAGGUCUUCGGAUGCUGACGAGUGGCGAACGGGUGAGUAAUACAUCGGAACGUGCCUAGUAGUGGGGGAUAACUACUCGAAAGAGUGGCUAAUACCGCAUGAGAUCUACGGAUGAAAGCAGGGGAUCGCAAGACCUUGUGCUACUAGAGCGGCCGAUGGCAGAUUAGGUAGUUGGUGGGAUAAAAGCUUACCAAGCCGACGAUCUGUAGCUGGUCUAAGAGGACGAUCAGCCACACUGGGACUGAGACACGGCCCAGACUCCUACGGGAGGCAGCAGUGGGGAAUUUUGGACAAUGGGCGAAAGCCUGAUCCAGCAAUGCCGCGUGCAGGAUGAAGGCCUUCGGGUUGUAAACUGCUUUUGUACGGAACGAAAAGCCCCGGGUUAAUACCCUGGGGUCAUGACGGUACCGUAAGAAUAAGCACCGGCUAACUCCGUGCCAGCAGCCGCGGUAA
Molecule: ribosomal RNA, 498 nt
Filed under: uncultured bacterium
Lineage: Bacteria
Description: partial 16S ribosomal RNA
Rfam family: Bacterial small subunit ribosomal RNA
Source: RNAcentral